Molecule: ribosomal RNA, 262 nt
Filed under: uncultured prokaryote
Description: partial 16S ribosomal RNA
Rfam family: Bacterial small subunit ribosomal RNA
Source: RNAcentral
UACGUAGGGUGCGAGCGUUGUCCGGAAUUACUGGGCGUAAAGAGCUCGUAGGUGGUUUGUCACGUCGUCUGUGAAAUUCCGGGGCUUAACCUCGGGCGUGCAGGCGAUACGGGCAAUACUUGAGUGCUGUAGGGGAGACUGGAAUUCCUGGUGUAGCGGUGAAAUGCGCAGAUAUCAGGAGGAACACCAAUGGCGAAGGCAGGUCUCUGGGCAGUUACUGACGCUGAGGAACGAAAGCAUGGGUAGCGAACAGGAUUAGAUA